CCUAUGGGGUGCAGCAGGCGAGAAAACUUUGCAAUGUGCGAAAGCACGACAAGGUUAAUCCGAGUGGUUUGUGCUAAACGAACCUUUUGUCGGUCCUAGAAACACCGAUGAAUAAGGGGUGGGCAAGUUCUGGUGUCAGCCGCCGCGGUAAAACCAGCACCUCAAGUGGUCAGGAUGAUUAUUGGGCCUAAAGCAUCCGUAGCCGGCUCUGUAAGUUUUCGGUUAAAUCUGUACGCUCAACGUACAGGCUGCCGGGAAUACUGCAGAGCUAGGGAGUGGGAGAGGUAGACGGUACUCGGUAGGAAGGGGUAAAAUCCUUUGAUCUAUUGAUGACCACCUGUGGCGAAGGCGGUCUACCAGAACACGUCCGACGGUGAGGGAUGAAAGCUGGGGGAGCAAACCGGAUUAGAUACCCGGGUAGUCCCAGCUGUAAACUAUGCAAACUCAGUGAUGCAUUGGCUUGUGGCCAAUGCAGUGCUGCAGGGAAGCCGUUAAGUUUGCCGCCUGGGAAGUACGUACGCAAGUAUGAAACUUAAAGGAAUUGGCGGGGGAGCACCACAAGGGGUGAAGCCUGCGGUUCAAUUGGAGUCAACGCCAGAAAUCUUACCCGGAGAGACAGCAGAAUGAAGGUCAAGCUGAAGACUUUACCAGACAAGCUGAGAGGUAGUGCAUGGCC
Molecule: ribosomal RNA, 676 nt
Filed under: uncultured archaeon
Lineage: Archaea
Description: bacterial SSU rRNA
Rfam family: Archaeal small subunit ribosomal RNA
Source: RNAcentral